RNAcentral lists this ribosomal RNA (253 nucleotides) under uncultured bacterium. Its description in RNAcentral is "partial 16S ribosomal RNA". It matches the Rfam family "Bacterial small subunit ribosomal RNA", at positions 524 to 776 of the family's 1533-position model. The record is from RNAcentral.
UACGUAGGGUGCGAGCGUUGUCCGGAAUUACAGGGCGUAAAGCGUGCGCAGGCGGUUUUGUAAGCCAGAUGUGAAAUCCCCGGGCUUAACCUGGGAAUGGCAUUUGGGACUGCAAGGCUGGAGUUUGGCAGAGGAGACUGGAAUUCCCGGUGUAGCAGUGAAAUGCGUAGAUAUCGGGAGGAAUACCGAUGGCGAAGGCAGGUCUCUGGGCUAUAACUGACGCUCAUGCACGAAAGCGUGGGGAGCAAACAGG